This 400-nucleotide ribosomal RNA is filed under the name uncultured bacterium. RNAcentral describes it as "bacterial SSU rRNA". It matches the Rfam family "Bacterial small subunit ribosomal RNA", at positions 359 to 776 of the family's 1533-position model. The record is from RNAcentral.
GAAUCUUGGACAAUGGGCGAAAGCCUGAUCCAGCGACGCCGCGUGACUGAUGAAGCCUUUCGGGGUGUAAAAGUCUUUCGGCAGGGACAAUAAUGAUGGUACCUGCAGAAGCAGCUGCGGCUAACUACGUGCCAGCCGCCGCGGUAAUACGUAGGCAGCUAGCGUUGUUCGGAAUUACUGGGCGUAAAGCGAGUGUAGGCGGUUUGCCAAGUCCGUUGUGAAAUCUCCCGGCUCAACUGGGAGGGUGCGGCGGAAACUGGCAGGCUAGAGUGCGGAAUGGGAGAGUGGAAUUCCUGGUGUAGCGGUGAAAUGCGUAGAUAUCAGGAGGAACACCGGUGGUGAAGACGGCUCUCUGGACCGCUACUGACGCUGAGACUCGAAAGCGUGGGGAGCAAACAGG